UUGUGAGUGUAAGGCGUGGUAGAAAAAGAACUAGUAAAAAAGAUACGACUGUCAUACUAACUGUGCUAUGCAUAUACAGACCUAACCUUACCUGAGGGUGUCAGGGAUCCCCAAAAUCGUCAUCCCUUGAUAACAAGGGCAUGUUCGGUUUUGUUGGAUCUGUAGUCACUGUCACUGUGUUGGAUUUGUAAUCACAGCAAAGCUGCAAAGACAGGGGUGCUUCGAAAACUUACCACGAAGGGAAAAAGUUUAGAAUAAAGCAUAACCUGUGUAGCUCAACGAAUCUGCAUGCACAGGUACGAUUGUGAAUGUGACAAAGUAAUAAAAUUUGCAGAUAGUGGAAGAGAGAAGAGAAAAUCUCUGGUACGGAGCGUGUUGCAUUAGAUAUUUUAUCAUUACUAUGGAACGUAAACAGGGUCAAACAAUUCGUAGUGAAGCCCGGAACAUAAUCCGGCGCGUAAUAGAAAAGUGUGACGAAGAAGCGCGUAAAGGCGAAAUGAUUUAUCUACUUAAGCAAGCAAAUCUCCGUGCUUCGUUUUAUACUGGAACAUCCAUUCCAACCAUUAGUCGUAUCCGAAAGGAGGAUUCCACGUAUAAAGAAGAUGAACCUCUACCAACACCGGGAACGAAACGCCCGAGAAGUGAGGAUAAAAAGUUUCACUGUUCACUCGAGGACCAGGCGGUAAUAAGAGGUGUUAUUCAUGAUUUCUACUUGGAAAAAAAAAUUAUGCCUACUGGUCCUAAAAUAUUAGCAGCGAUACGUAAAAAAAUCAACUUCCCAUGGGAAAUACAUAGUCUCCUUAAAUUACUAAAGCGCAUGGGUUAUGAAUGGAGGAAGACUAUUAAUAUUAAAAAGGUAUUAAUUGAAAAGCCAAAUUUUAUAGCUUGGAGAGCUAAAUAUCUGAAAGCAAUAGAAUAUUAUCGCAAGCAAAACAGACCUAUAAUUUACAUUAACGAAACAUGGGUAGACAACACCUUGUAUUUUCAUAAAUGUUGGGACGGUAAAGAAAGGGGAAUUAUGAAGAAUACAAAUUCAUCGAACCGUUUGGUUAUUAUUCACGCGGGAGGAAAGGAUGGUUUUAUAAAAGGGGCAGAACUGAUAUUCGAGUCUCGAACGACACCUAGUGACAUCCACGGACAAAUGAACCCGGCAAAUUUUGAAAUAUGGAUUACCGAAAAAUUAUUGCCUAACAUUCCUGCAAACUCCGUGGUAGUUAUGGAUAACGCCCCCUACCAUUCAGCUCGACUAAACGAACCGCCCUCGAAUUAUUCCAAGAAAGACGAUAUACUUCGAUGGCUGGUCGAAAAUAAUAUCCCGCAUACACAGAAUAUGAGGAAAUACCAAUUGCUUGAGCUGGUAAAUACACACAAGAAAUUAAAGAAAACGUUUAAAAUCGAUGAGAUACUAAAAGUACACGGGCACAAUGCCUUACGAUUACCAUCGAGUAUGCCUGACCUGAAUCCUAUCGAACUGGCUUGGUCCCAGGUAAAGAAGAAAUUAAGAGAGAAACAAAUAUUCGUUUCAUCGAGCAGUGAGCUGGAACGACACAUCAUGGUGGCAAUUAACGAAGUGACACAAAAAGAUUGGCAGAAUUUUUGUGAACACGUGGAGAAGCUUGAGGGAGACUACUGGCGAAAAGAUGGAUUAGUAGAAGAAAUAACAGAUAAUUUCGAACUACCAAGUGCUGAAUCGGAAAGUGAUUCUGAUGAGAGCACAGAUUCUGAAGAUUAAAAGGGGCAUUUUAAGGAAUAAUGGAUUCUAUGACCGGAAUGGAUUAUUUACUUAUAUGCAUAUGCAUAAUCUUUCACAGAAUAUUGAUUCUUUUAAUAAUUUAGAUUCCGUUUCUGCGGAUCCUGUAUUCUAAUAAUCCUAUAUUAAUUUAUAACUUUCAUUAUACAAAAUUAGAAAAUGGGAAACAAAACAUCCAAGCAAUCCCCGACAGAGGAACCCCCGGCGGAGGAGCGCCCGGCAGAGGAAUCCCCGGUGGAGGAGCGCCCGACAGAGGAACCUCCGGCGGAGGAACGCUCGGUAGAGGAACCGCCGGAGGUGGCAAGACCGGCCGUGGCCGAUAUUAAAGUACCAUUAUUGUUAAAUAUGUACAACUGUUAGUGACAAGUGUAUAGUGUAUAAAAGUAAAGAGCCCCAAAGGAGGAGAAAAAAUCGCAACAUCAAAAAACUGAAGAAGCUGUUGAGAACGAUGCUACCAGCCGUCUCAGGAUAUCCGGGGGGGUAUGUAUCCCCCCCACCCCCCAACACACAUCGCCACCGCGGCCCGAGAUGUACGCAGCUCCAAUGCUGUGUAUCUCCCAGCCGCCAGUUAUGUACAUACCACGGCCAGUAAACCAUAAUAUAUGUACCCCCGCAAUCCCCAAUAUGUGUCCACCCGCAACCGGCAAUGUACAGGGUGAUCCUCUCGCUAGGGGACACAAAGGAACACUGGAGAUAAUGGACCCCUUGACCACACCAUAAAGAGGUCCGUAUUGGGGACCUACUCGGGCCGAGACGACUCUGUGUGCCUUCAUGGUGCGGUCAAGGAAUUCAUUGUCGCCAGUUCCUUUGUGCCCCCUAGCGAGAGGAUCACCCUGUAUGUACGGCAACCGACGCCGUAUCAGUAUUAUUAAAUUAAAAAUUUUAUUACAAUACAUUUCUUUUCGACACCUGUUA
This is an RNA transcript of Osmia bicornis bicornis, 2665 nucleotides long. RefSeq lists it as uncharacterized. The transcript has 4 exons. The record is from RefSeq and is a predicted model, not a curated record. Lineage: Eukaryota; Metazoa; Arthropoda; Insecta; Hymenoptera; Megachilidae.